CAAAUUUUAAUUUAAUAAAAAUAUUUUUUUUACAUAAAAAUUAUAUAGAUUUUCUAUAAAUUUGA
Molecule: transfer RNA, 65 nt
Filed under: Adicella ragma
Lineage: Eukaryota; Metazoa; Arthropoda; Insecta; Trichoptera; Leptoceridae
Description: tRNA-Val
Source: RNAcentral